GACAAAUAAAUACACAUUUAAUACACACUGACAAGCUGAACCAACAUAUGUUAUUAUUACCGGCUCAGAUCUCAUUAAUAAUUGAUGUCUGGCCGGAGAUCAGUGAGAAGGACCAGAGAGAAAUCACCGCUGCAUCAGCGCGUGCAGUCUCACGAGCUCACAAUAAAAGCAUUUUUAUAUUUUAAGAGCUUUUUAAAAUAAAAUAUUACCGCGAAUGCACACAAUCCACCCAUUAGAACACAACAAGAGCUAAAUUCAGGUAUUUGUGAGCUGUUUGAUUGUGAAAAUUGAAAGACUAUUUGACAGUGCGAGACUGUCUAAGGGCAGAAUAACAUCGAUCUCUCGAGCUCCAGAGGACGCUGAUUCUGGCAAGAACGAACAAAUCAAGAACAAGGUUAUUUCAAAAUACAUAAUAGCUUGGCGAAUAUAAACGAAAACAUUCACGUGAACAUAAACAGUUGAGAAAUAAAUCUGAAGUGUAUCAUGAUACUGGAUUUGAAUAUUAAAGUGACUGCAUUUACCAGCUGCUUUCUGUCUUCAAUUUUAAUCUAUAAAAAACAGAAAAUCAUUCGUCUUGGCUGUUUUUGUAUGUGUGUAUGUAUUCACGUAUUUAUUAUUAUUAUUAUUAUUAUUUUGCUCUAACAAGAAUUAAU
This is a long non-coding RNA of Cyprinus carpio carpio, 653 nucleotides long. Lineage: Eukaryota; Metazoa; Chordata; Actinopteri; Cypriniformes; Cyprinidae. The record is from Ensembl.